RNAcentral lists this ribosomal RNA (500 nucleotides) under Nostoc entophytum LCRSM-4. RNAcentral describes it as "bacterial SSU rRNA". It matches the Rfam family "Bacterial small subunit ribosomal RNA", at positions 217 to 731 of the family's 1533-position model. The record is from RNAcentral. Lineage: Bacteria; Bacillati; Cyanobacteriota; Cyanophyceae; Nostocales; Nostocaceae.
GCCUGGGGAUGAGCUCCCGUCCGAUUAGCUAGUAGGUGGGGUAAGAGCCUACCUAGGCGACGAUCGGUAGCUGGUCUGAGAGGAUGACCAGCCACACUGGGACUGAGACACGGCCCAGACUCCUACGGGAGGCAGCAGUGGGGAAUUUUCCGCAAUGGGCGAAAGCCUGACGGAGCAAUACCGCGUGAGGGAGGAAGGCUCUUGGGUUGUAAACCUCUUUUCUCAGGGAAGAACACAAUGACGGUACCUGAGGAAUCAGCAUCGGCUAACUCCGUGCCAGCAGCCGCGGUAAUACGGAGGAUGCAAGCGUUAUCCGGAAUGAUUGGGCGUAAAGCGUCCGCAGGUGGCUGUGUAAGUCUGCUGUCAAAGAGCAAAGCUCAACUUUGUAAAGGCAGUGGAAACUACACGGCUAGAGUGCGUUCGGGGCAGAGGGAAUUCCUGGUGUAGCGGUGAAAUGCGUAGAGAUCAGAAGAACACCGGGUGGCGGAGGCGCUCUGCUA